Molecule: long non-coding RNA, 206 nt
Filed under: Nicotiana benthamiana
Lineage: Eukaryota; Viridiplantae; Streptophyta; Magnoliopsida; Solanales; Solanaceae
Description: long non-coding RNA (NBEN_LNC007586)
Source: RNAcentral
AAAGGAGUGAAACAAAGUGUGAGCCCAAGUGUGUACCAAAGUGAUCCCUUGUGUAAUAAAAGUUGAAGAAUUACAAAAGUCUCUCUCCAUAUAGCUAGAUAUAUUAAACCUUCCAAACUACCUCCAUUUCUUCAUUUAUUAACUAAACAAAAUCUCUUUCCUUCUUACAUUUAAAGGUCUUCUACCUUUAAAUUGUUCUCCUACAA